GAUGAACGCUGGCGGCGUGCCUAAUACAUGCAAGUCGAGCGAACGGACGAGAAGCCUGCUUUUCUGAUGUUAGCGGCGGACGGGUGAGUAACACGUGGAUAACCUACCUAUAAGACUGGGAUAACUUCGGGAAACCGGAGCUAAUACCGGAUAAUAUUUUGAACCGCAUGGUUCAAAAGUGAAAGACGGUCUUGCUGUCACUUAUAGAUGGAUCCGCGCUGCAUUAGCUAGUUGGUAAGGUAACGGCUUACCAAGGCAACGAUGCAUAGCCGACCUGAGAGGGUGAUCGGCCACACUGGAACUGAGACACGGUCCAGACUCCUACGGGAGGCAGCAGUAGGGAAUCUUCCGCAAUGGGCGAAAGCCUGACGGAGCAACGCCGCGUGAGUGAUGAAGGUCUUCGGAUCGUAAAACUCUGUUAUUAGGGAAGAACAUAUGUGUAAGUAACAGUGCACAUCUUGACGGUACCUAAUCAGAAAGCCAUGGCUAACUACGUG
This 497-nucleotide ribosomal RNA is filed under the name uncultured bacterium. RNAcentral describes it as "partial 16S ribosomal RNA". It matches the Rfam family "Bacterial small subunit ribosomal RNA", at positions 28 to 507 of the family's 1533-position model. The record is from RNAcentral.